This 492-nucleotide ribosomal RNA is filed under the name uncultured bacterium. RNAcentral describes it as "partial 16S ribosomal RNA". It matches the Rfam family "Bacterial small subunit ribosomal RNA", at positions 29 to 507 of the family's 1533-position model. The record is from RNAcentral.
AGUGAACGCUGGCGGUAGGCCUAACACAUGCAAGUCGAACGGCAGCACAGUAAGAGCUUGCUCUUACGGGUGGCGAGUGGCGGACGGGUGAGGAAUACAUCGGAAUCUACUUUUUCGUGGGGGAUAACGUAGGGAAACUUACGCUAAUACCGCAUACGACCUACGGGUGAAAGCAGGGGAUCUUCGGACCUUGCGCGAUUGAAUGAGCCGAUGUCGGAUUAGCUAGUUGGCGGGGUAAAGGCCCACCAAGGCGGCGAUCCGUAGCUGGUCUGAGAGGAUGAUCAGCCACACUGGAACUGAGGCACGGUCCAGACUCCUACGGGAGGCAGCAGUGGGGAAUAUUGGACAAUGGGCGCAAGCCUGAUCCAGCCAUACCGCGUGGGUGAGGAAGGCCUUCGGGUUGUAAAGCCCUUUUGUUGGGAAAGAAAAGCAGCAGGUUAAUACCCCGCUGUUCUGACGGUACCCAAAGAAUAAGCACCGGCUAACUUCGUG